This 487-nucleotide ribosomal RNA is filed under the name uncultured bacterium. Its description in RNAcentral is "partial 16S ribosomal RNA". It matches the Rfam family "Bacterial small subunit ribosomal RNA", at positions 28 to 507 of the family's 1533-position model. The record is from RNAcentral.
GAUGAACGCUAGCGAUAGGCUUAACACAUGCAAGUCGAGGGGCAGCACAAGGUAUCUUGCUAUCUGGGUCGCGACCGGCGCACGGGUUCGUAACGCGUAUGCCACUUGCUCUAUACAGGAGGAUAACCCGUCGAAAGACUAACUAAUACUGCGUAUGCUCACAACUUGGCAUCAAUCGGUGAUGAAAGUAAUUCGUUAUAGGAUAGGCAUGCGUCCCAUUAGCUGGUUGGUGAGGUAACGGCUCACCAAUGCAACGAUGGGUAGGGGAACUGAGAGGUUGAUACCCCAGAAUGGUAAUGAGACACGGACCAGACCCGUACGGGAGGCAGCAGUGAGGAAUAUUGGUCAAUGGGGGCGAGCCUGACCCAGCCAAGUCGGGUGAAGGAUGACUGGCUUAGGGAUUGUAAACUUCUUUUAUACGGGAAUAACAAGAGUAACGCGUGACUCCCUGCAUGUACCGUAUGAAUAAGCAUCGGCUAACUCCGUG